UUGUCAUGCCAAUGGCACUGCCCGGUAGCUAAAUGCGGAAGAGAUAAGUGCUGAAAGCAUCUAAGCACGAAACUUGCCCCGAGAUGAGUUCUCCCUGACUCCUUGAGAGUCCUGAAGGAACGUUGAAGACGACGACGUUGAUAGGCCGGGUGUGUAAGCGCAGCGAUGCGUUGAGCUAACCGGUACUAAUGAACCGUGAGGCUUAACCUUACAACGCCGAAGCUGUU
RNAcentral lists this ribosomal RNA (227 nucleotides) under Escherichia coli. Its description in RNAcentral is "partial 23S ribosomal RNA". It matches the Rfam family "Bacterial large subunit ribosomal RNA", at positions 2721 to 2925 of the family's 2925-position model. Lineage: Bacteria; Pseudomonadati; Pseudomonadota; Gammaproteobacteria; Enterobacterales; Enterobacteriaceae. The record is from RNAcentral.